Molecule: long non-coding RNA, 1273 nt
Filed under: Gadus morhua (Atlantic cod)
Lineage: Eukaryota; Metazoa; Chordata; Actinopteri; Gadiformes; Gadidae
Description: lncRNA (ENSGMOG00000035076.1)
Source: RNAcentral
AUAACAGUAUAGAUUAAAGUAACUAAAAUCGUAUCAUUGAUGGUAAUUGCGUCAUAAGCAGAUUCAAAUGUGCCUGUAUCAUAUAAUUUAUUCCUAUCAUUGCCCACUUAUUUGAUGCUUGUUUGGGGGUUUUAGUGGGGCUACUACAAUUUGGAACAAAAUAUAUUGACAGAUUCUUAAUCCCUAUUGUUGGUGUUUAUAAUAAUCACUUUAAUGGUUUAAAUAUUUAUUAAAAAAAAUCAGUCAGGUGGUCUCCUAGUGUGUGUGUGUGGUUCUGACGGAGUCCUCGUUCUGUCCUUCAGUCAGGUGGUCUCCUGUGUGCGUGUGGUUCUGACGUUGUCCUCGUUCUGUCCUUCAGUCAGGUGGUCUCCUGUGUGCGUGUGGUUCUGACGUUGUCCUCGUUCUGUCCUUCAGUCAGGUGGUCUCCUGUGUGUGUGUGGUUCUGACGGUGUUCUGGUUCUGUCCUUCAGUCAGGUGGUCUCCUAGCGUGUGUGUGUGUGGUUCUGACGGUGUCCUGGUUCUGUCCUUCAGUCAGGUGGUCUCCUGUGUGUGUGUGUGUGUGGUUCUGACGGUGUCGUGGUUCUGUCCUUCAGUCAGGUGGUCUCCUACGGUUCUGUUCGGCUCAGGAGAGACCUGGACCGCUGCCUCUGUACCGAUCACCACGACGAUGGCUGUCUUCGAUACUGCUCGGCCAAUCGAAAGCGCUCAGAUUGGAAAACAUCUGAAGUCAAGAAACAGACCUCCAAACAACAGAACCGGCGCAAGGCAUUGUGGGAGAGAAACAACAGAACCGGAAUCGCGCGACCCAAGGAAGAGCGGCGGGAAGGAGAAACGCCGGUAGCUCAGAGGGCCACUUGAUGCAACCAACGGACGGUCAGCUGUCGAGCGUCCCUCUCUUUGUUUCCCAGACGAUGGUUUGGAAGUAACAAACGUCUGGUUUCACCGACACGUGGACAGAGCCGAAAUAAAUCAACCAACUUAUUCUCAAACAUGUGUUAUCUCUAUAAGCUGACAUUCCAAGCAUUUAGAGGACGGGAUGAUUGACUGUACUUAAUGGAUGAAUGACCAAAAUGGACCCAAAGUAUAUAUAAACUUACUUAAAAAGGACACUCACAGAACGGAACUCUGUGGCCUGAGGCUGAGACCAGACCGGACCACCCUGCGGCGGGGGCCGCGGACGCGUAUCACGGAAGAACGACAAACAGUUUAAAUUGCGGGACUAAACCGCGCGUCAAAACAGUGAGAAAGGGUGGACCGUGGACGGGCUGCUUUA